Molecule: long non-coding RNA, 1586 nt
Filed under: Scophthalmus maximus (turbot)
Lineage: Eukaryota; Metazoa; Chordata; Actinopteri; Pleuronectiformes; Scophthalmidae
Description: lncRNA (ENSSMAG00000021697.1)
Source: RNAcentral
GCAACAUUUAUUAGGGAAGAUAUUUCAUUUACAGAGGUGAGCAUUGGAAAUGAACAAAAAUAUAUAAGAGUAGAUAUAUGGAUAAGAGAGGUAGAAUAUGUAAUAAUACAUUUUUACAAUCCUUGCAGGAAACUAGAUAGGCAAACAUCCGUCAGGGUUAUGUGAUAACUGUCACAUGGAGGAAUCAGUAGAGCAUGUAGAUUUAAACUGUCGUAAAUACACACAAGAGCGCGAAGCAUUACAGAGGGGAAUCAGGAGACUUGGAUUUAAAGAGAUGACUUUAAAAAAUAUAUUUUCUAUUGGGAUAAAAAGUCUGUUCCCUUAUUUGAAGGAGACAGGACUUAUGCAAAGAAUUUAAUUUUUUGAAUUAUUUAUUCAUUCAAUAGACAUAUUUUUAUUUUUUUAAAUUUGGUUUUGGUUUUGUUCUGUUUGUUUUUGGUUUGGUUUUGGGUAGAAAACUCUGGCUCACACUCCAACACAGUAGGUGGCGGUAAUGCACCAUAACGCUGGUUGCCACCCGCCACAAAAAAAAAAAAGAAGAAGAAGAAGUAGAAGAAGUAGAAGAAGAAGAAGAAGAAGAAGGAAACGCUUGUUGUUGACGCGGAUUUUGACUCACAGCCUGUUUACAUACAGUCUGGCAGACGAGUUGCUGCACUGAACCAAAGAAGAAGAAAAAAGAGUUGCAGAACGACAUAGAAAGGGUAUACAACAACUUCCGGUCGCAGCAGACAGAGCAGUGGAGACGGCUACGGACACAAAGAGGUUGGAGACCACAGGAGGAGUGAACAUCGUGUGGCUCUUCCCCGCUGGCGUCAACUCCGGGAGGAGAAGAGGGCGACAGCUAGGUUGUCUGCCACGGACCAGAGCACUGAGACCAGGCGAUCCCCGUCCGCAGCGAGAGAAGCAGGUCAGCAGAGGACCAGGGCCACUUCCUAAAGAGUCGACAACAGCACAGCCUGACCCGUCUGCCGACAGACCUGCUUUGACACAAGAGCUAGGAAACCCUGUGCAGACAGUUCCUUCAUUGUUGUACAUAUGUUGUUUAUGCUAAUAUUCUAAUAUAUAUAUUGUAUGAUGUUCCAAAAAAAUAAACAGGUGUCAUGACACAUUGUGUUCUAAUUAUUUGUGCAGCUUGUAAAGAGGUAAAUGUAAUGGUUGGUUUGUUUAUGCUGAGAGUAUAAGGAAAAGGCCUUGAAAAUUUAAAAUAUUUUUAUUCCAGCAAUAUAGAGCAGGUUACGCAGAACAUAAAUAAACAUUGGUAUUGCACAAAAUACUGUGUGCAAAAUGUAAACCUCCAUAUGUGGCAGCCUGGACAGGGGAGUCAUGAAGUUGCCCACAGCACUUUCUUUCCACGUCUAAGGGCAGUUGUGGCAGGCACAAGUAGGUUGACCUGCAACGGGACGGCCCGGUGGAGGAGCAUCUGCUGCUGUGAGGUGUAGUACGUGAAGCAGCAGGCUCGUGUCCCGUCACUGCUCCAAGUUCAGUCCUCGAGUUCGGGCCUGUACAGUAACACAUGAUUAGAUUAGUUACAUGAUAAAUAAUUCCAUGUAUGAUUCGAUACAUUGAACAGAGUCUGGAGUAAACUC